GGAAGGUGUAACGCGGCGCCAUCAAA
RNAcentral lists this small RNA (26 nucleotides) under Bombyx mori (domestic silkworm). RNAcentral's name for it is "ovarian small RNA-17218". Lineage: Eukaryota; Metazoa; Arthropoda; Insecta; Lepidoptera; Bombycidae. The record is from RNAcentral.